Molecule: transfer RNA, 69 nt
Organism: Monodelphis domestica (gray short-tailed opossum)
Lineage: Eukaryota; Metazoa; Chordata; Mammalia; Didelphimorphia; Didelphidae
Rfam family: tRNA
About the family: Transfer RNA (tRNA) molecules are approximately 80 nucleotides in length.
Source: Rfam
AAGGGUUUAGCUUAAUUAAAGCGUUCGAUUUGCGUUCGAAGUAUGCAAGAUAAAAGCUUGUAAUUCUUA